AACGCACAUUGCGCCCUUUGGCAUUCCGAAGGGCAUGCCCGUUCGAGCGUCAUUACACCACUCAAGCCUGGCUUGGUAUUGGGCGACGGGACAUCUCCCGCGCCUCUAAUUCUUCGGCUGGACGGUUCGAAUCUCAGCGUUGUGGUUUAAUCAAAAUCGCUGGCGAGGACGACCGGACGCGCCGUGAAAACCUCAUUACAGGUUGACCUCGGAUCGGGUAGGGAUACCCGCUGAACUUAA
This 240-nucleotide unclassified non-coding RNA is filed under the name Arxiella sp. RNAcentral describes it as "partial contains 5.8S ribosomal RNA, internal transcribed spacer 2, and large subunit ribosomal RNA". The record is from RNAcentral. RNAcentral also lists the same sequence under 1 other name. Lineage: Eukaryota; Fungi; Ascomycota; Dothideomycetes; Muyocopronales; Muyocopronaceae.